Cucurbita moschata (crookneck pumpkin) is the source of this 413-nucleotide long non-coding RNA. RefSeq lists it as uncharacterized. The record is from RefSeq and is a predicted model, not a curated record. NCBI's taxonomy places the organism in Eukaryota, Viridiplantae, Streptophyta, Magnoliopsida, Cucurbitales, Cucurbitaceae. The transcript has 2 exons.
CAAAGGCUUGCUUUGACUCUCUUUUGCAGAUGGUUCAUGGAUAUAGAGUGUUAUAGACAUGUGCGGUGAACGUGGAUCGAACACGUGACCUUCAGAUCUUCAGUCUGACGCUCUCCCAACUGAGUUAUCCCCGCAACGGGUACACAACGACUUUGACUCUCGUUUGCAGAUGGUUCAUGGAUAUAGAGUGUAUAGACAUGUGUGGUGAACGUGGAUCGAACACGUGACCUUCAGAUCUUCAGUCUAACACUCUCCCAACUGAGCUAUCCCUGCAAUUGGUAACUCUCAUGUGUAGAAAUGAGUUGACGUGGAAAUUCUAAUAUGACGUGUGUUAAUGGGUUUAGGGAUAUACAUGAAAAAGAAGAACCAUAAGUGAUGUAUGUGACCUUUGCAAGUACACAACAAAAGACUUU